UACUGGUUAGCUCAGGUGGUACAGCGGUUCACUCGAAAUGGAGAGGCCCCAGGUUCGAUACCCGGACCAGGCA
This 73-nucleotide transfer RNA is filed under the name Ixodes scapularis (black-legged tick). Its description in RNAcentral is "tRNA-Ser for anticodon CGA". The record is from RNAcentral. Lineage: Eukaryota; Metazoa; Arthropoda; Arachnida; Ixodida; Ixodidae.